GGAUGUGAGGGCGAUCUGGUUGUAACACCUGUCGCCCCUUUGAUCGCCAGGGUUGAUGCGACUGACCUGGCUAGCUAGGCGGCUGUUUCCUUCCUCCUUCACUGCUCCCAUGAGCGUUUCUCCCGAAGCUGUGCCCUCAGUGAAAUCGGACAGUCAUCCCUGGUGGAGGAGGACGGGUCUUCAGUAAAGGGCCUAGGAGUAGCUGUGCUUUCCCCAUAGAACCUCCAAGGAAGCUCCCAAGUUUACCCUCUUUAAAUUGUACAUUUUAAUGUUUGGAAAGGUGUAGUAAACUUAAUUGAUUACAGAUAAAGUAGUUAAGCUCAGUUUAUUGUUUACU
RNAcentral lists this small nuclear RNA (337 nucleotides) under Ovis aries (sheep). RNAcentral's name for it is "7SK RNA". It matches the Rfam family "7SK RNA". Rfam says of the family: 7SK was discovered as an abundant small nuclear RNA in the mid-70s but a possible function has only recently been suggested. Two independent studies have found that 7SK RNA binds the CDK9/cyclin T complex (known as elongation factor P-TEFb). The record is from Rfam by way of RNAcentral. Lineage: Eukaryota; Metazoa; Chordata; Mammalia; Artiodactyla; Bovidae.